GAUGAUGGUGGUGCACGUCUUGGCCAGCUCCUGGACGGUCACCAUCUUGGGCCACCAGUCGGCGUCCUUGAGGUCGCCGUGCCCGACCUCGCGCACCUCCUUCCACCACUCCUCCAGCUCCUUGUCGGCCCGGAGCACGCCGUCAUUUGGGUAGUAGAUGGCCAGGUACUCGUUCACCCACCGCUCGAUCGCCCACCAGAUCACCAGUCCGUCCACCGCGUAUGGGUAGUCCUUUAUCAGCAGACGGAUGCCGUAUGGGCUCGAUUCGUCCGGCACAGCCAUGCCCCUGCACAAACAAGCAAAAUGCCAUCUGUUUAAUCAACAAACCAUUUCUUCCACACUAGCUCCGAUCUUGCUUCAACCUUUUUUCUAUUAUUAGUUUAUUACCUCUUGACGAGAUCGUCAGGGAGGCCCUGCUCAGUGAGCUUCCAGUUCUUGUAGACAACAGCAGACAUCUCAAGCGCGUAUUGCCCAGGGAAGACGGUCAGCUCGAACACGCCACCGGCGUUGAUGAGGGUGGUCCGCGCCAGGGCAUUGAUGUUCAACGUGUCGCGGUAGUGCGGGCUCAGCAGCUUGUGCACCGGGUGCACCACACUGAGUUGCCGGUUCGUCGCAAUCACGAACGGUUCGAUCACCGCAUGUGUGUUCAGCCUAAGAAAGCAAUCAAAAAGCUCAGCUCAGCGCUUUGUUGGUACCAAGGGUGGCACUUGUUCUUUAGCCUAGAACCUACAACCUGAAGCAGGGGUAUAUAAACUGAUGUUGCAAUGCAUAUUUACCAGUGGCUGAUAAGCUGAUGCCACGCAGAGUCGUCGACGGAGGCGUAAGCCUUGGCAAGCUGCCAGAUCUGGCCAUCAACGCCAGAGUUAAUGUCAGCUGGAAGGUACACCGUGCUCUUUGCGCCAUGCUGGAUCCCAUCGGGGUGCGGCUGGCUCAGCUCGAUGGCCAAGGGCUUCAGCGUGCCAUCGGCCUUCAGGAACAGCAAGGUCCUUGAAGCAUAGAUGUAGUUGCCUUCCAGCUUGUUGAUGCGGUCAAGGAAUGGCAUGAAGUUAUCGUGGUGAUCUAGAAUGAAGAGCCUCUUCUUGUCCAUUGCCUGCACAAUACAUGGUUGUUAGGACAAUCAAUCUCACUAGAUUAUUCAGUACUUGUCCAUUUGCAAUUUGCAGCACAAAUAGAUCAUUGAAAUCACAUGAUUCAUUCAACACACCUGUCUCACUGUGAGGCCAUCUUCCAGGUUCAGCUGAAUUUGAUCUUCAGUGAUAGUGCUUGACUGGUCCCCGUACACACUGGGAUCCAGGGUACUUUUUACAGGGAACUCCUAUGGUCAUCAAAUAGAAAACAAACGAUGAUGAAUUCUCAAUCGAUUAUGAGGAAAUGGUUUGUUCUUGUAUUCUUCUUUAAACGGCAUAGUGGCGCUAACCGUCAGACGUCUGAUGCAAACCGGGUUCACGCCUGCGAGCAUCUCCCGUGCAAACUCCUCAUCUGACCUCCAAGCAUACUUAUCUGGAAUUUAAGAAAAUAAGUCAUAUAACAGACAUAAAAAGUAAAACAAGGGAUGACCGUAAUAAGUAAGCCAUGCACACGGCUGAUUACCUGAUUUGAUAACAUGUGGAAGGGGCAAGUUUAGGAGGUCAUCGCCAGCAACUGGUAAAAGACUUUUAAUAAACUGAAGGGGGAUUUUAUUCUUGAGCUCCUUUAGGUGUUGGUUAUCUGGCACUUUCAGAAGACCAUCAUAGAGAUUAUAGAUGUCUUGAAACGAAUCAAACUCCUUGGGUGUACUGUCAACAUAGGUCCUGAUUAUCGGAAGAAUGGCCUCCGUGAUGGCCUUGAGAGAGUACCCAAGGAAGUCAGACAACUUGAGGUGCCCAAAGCGCUCAUCGCGGGGGACAUAGAUGUUCAGGGCCUCCUUAAUCUUGUACUUAGGAAUUCUGCUCUCCGAUCUAGGGUCUGGUGGAAAGAUCAAAUCCCCAAUAUGAAUCCAAUUGAAGGUGACAUGGUUAUGAACAUGUUGGAAAAAAAAUAUACACUGCACUGGACUCACCCGUUUCUGUUGGUGGUCGGCCAGUUCUGCAACGACGGGGAUAGGGGAGUUCUUGGGUGCCGCCGAGAACUGGGCGGGGAUUGUCGUUGUCUGGCUCACCGAGGUCAUUGUAGUAGUCAUAGCGGUACACGCGGUCAGCCUCCUUGUACUCUCCGGUCGUGUCGUCGCCUCGGAGAUUGUUGAGUUCAUCUUGCCGGUAUUGCACCAAAAGUGCAGGCAUUUUGCUGGGCAGAUAGGUCUGAAAAAUAGCGAGAAAAUGAGGCGACAGAUAAACAAGACGGGAUACAGUAGUUUUUAUUUCUCAGUCCCCAGAACCCAGGCAGGUGCUCUCAAGGGUUUAAAACCGGACUAGUGCCAAUUAACCCGUGAGAAGUAGAUAAUUCAUGUUGUCACUUGUGAUCUUGUAUCAUUUCUGAAAACAAGUUGAUAUUUCUGUCUCCUAAUCCUCUGAUCAUCAGGGAUGAGUUAAAAACAGAAAAGUUGUCAACUUGCUCUUGAGAUCUAACAACUAGUUUUGGAUCAAGAGAUUCGGAUAUGCACGGGGAUGGGCGAUUCUUGUCCGGAAGCCUACUAAAAUAGAGCAGCAAACUGAUGACACUUGCAACUUGUUGUUUCAUAACCGUUAUUAUACUGGUAACUUGUACGACCCGUUCAUUAUCUUUGUACAAAAAAAUCUCCUAAGAUUGAGUUAGUCAGUAGGGAGCUGGUGCGCAUGCAUGCAUGGGCGCGCAACUUGCUGUCAUACUAUUCAAAGCACAACUUGCUGUCAUAAGAUUCGUUCCGUCAUUUUGAACGGAUGCCCAAGCAAAAUGCUUUGACAUCUCAAGGCAAUCAAAGGACGCAAUUCCCCAAAAAUCAGAGCUUAUUUUCAAAGGAAGCUAGUUGGGAUAUGAUAAUGUAUUAUUUUUUUACUAAAAACGACCCCUUGUCGAAUUUAAUCCGUUCACUGAUCCCUUUCGAAACUCAUUUCCAAAUUCCGUAGAUAUGAUACAAGUCGCCCCAAACGGUCCGCCGGAGUGACUCCCUGGGUAGGGGGCAGAUUCGGAAACAAGUUUUCGAAGGGGUUAGCGAACAAAUUAAGUUUGUGAAAGGAUCAUUUAGGGUAAAUAAUACUUCCUCUGUACCAUAAUACUUGUUGGAACAGAGGGAGUAGUACAUUCAUGCACACAAGACAUUAUUUUUGGGGUCCUUAUUACAGAUCCUUAUUACAGUAUGUGGUGUAGGAAAUUCUGACAAGGAAUUAUUUGACAGCAGGAAAUGGCAGCCGUUGACUUGACUGAAAGACCAAAGACCCAGCAACAGCUAUUUGACAGCUAAGGUGAUCUCACCGAAUGACAGCAUGCAUAUAGUAAAUUGCCUGCCUGUACAGCUCAGACUGUCUGACUUUUUUAUUUUUGCCAAACGGAAAAGAAAAAAACUUGUUGAUUUGGAUCUGUUCUACUACUAGCAGUAUCCAUUUGCAGCCCGUCACACUGGAUGGACAAUUGCGAGUGUGUUGUAUUAUUGGCAUCUAAGUACUAGGUACAACCAACAUGAUAUACAUGCUACCUAAUCCAUGCAGCAGCAGAUUAUCUUAAUAAUGCAAGAGAAAAGAAAAGUCGGCUAAGAUCCAAUUCCGGUCCGAAGCCCGUGGCCAUACUCAGAAAAGGACGCAAUCAUUCUUAAAAGAAGAUGAAAUGCGUGCAAAACGAGAGUUCAUACGGAGUAGUAUUUAUUUAUUGAUUGAUUGAUUGAUUGCGGUGUCGUCGUCGGCGGCGGCGGCGAGGGGAAGGAAGGAAGAGGAGGAGGAAGGAGGAGCUCACGUCGUUGGCGAAGAAGAGGCGGUCGACGUUGGGGUAGAUCCAGGAGUUGGCGACGAAGACGACGGUGCCCUUGCCGGGGACGCCGUGGAGGGUGAGCGUCUUGAGCAGGUACUCGGAGCGGUAGGUGUUGCGGACGAUGACGGCGCCGGGGACGCCCUGCGACUCGUCCCACUCGAAGGUGACCUUGAACACCGACUCCCCCGCCGCCGUCGACUUCAUCGUCACCACCAUCUCCUCCAGGUGCGCCGGCUUCCCCACCUUGCCCCGGCUCCCAUUCUCUGCAACCCGCCGGAACCAUCGUCACAACAUCAGCAAGAUAUAUCGACAACAUACAACACAGAUGCAAAUGGAACGAGAUACAGUACUGAUUAAAUUAACUUAAUCAUGGCUGUCACUUUAGUUUGGAUCGAUCGCUUUGGUUUGGGAGCGGCGUCGGACACGUGUGCCCUGCUGAUUGCACUCCUCUGCUGUCAUUCUCGCAAAUUUUUAAUUUUUUUUACUCCUCUGCUGUGUUGUCAUGGGGUCGGUCCCCGGAGCCGGAGGUCAUGGCCGGCAUUGAUGCUAAACCCAGGCGGCCACGCCAAUCUAGGACUAGGAGCAUCGAUCCACGGGAUGGGUCCACGACAAGAUGAACAUGAUCAAAAGUUGAAAACUGCCCUCCUUUGUCCCUUUAUUUUUGAACUGAAAUCAACACAGAUUGUUUCUGAACUGAAUCUAAGUAGGAGCACAUGAUGUGUGAUUCUUAAAACAAGAAAGAAACUGGAAUCGAUAGUUCGAUACAGAUUGUUUUUGAACCGAAUCGAUACGGGAUUCGCAGGCAAAAAAAAAAAAAGAGUGGAAUCACCACGGAUUGUUUCUGUUUCGAAAACGCCAUGACCCAUGAGUUGGGAAACUGAAACGCACGCGCGUACGAGGCGAGAGCCGGCGGUUACGCGGCGGCGGCGUGCGACCGACGCAGGGAGGGAGAGAGGGGAGAAGCGAAGGGGAAGGGGGAAGAAAGGUUACGUGGGUCAGGGGCGGUGGCGCUGACGAGGCGGAAGGAGACGCCGUCGUCCUUGCCGAGGAUCUUGUGGACGCCGUCGAGGAGGGAGGCGUGGAAGUCGCCGAGGUCGAGCACGUCGCUCUUGACCAGCACCGCCGUGCCCCGGAUCUUGCCCUCCUUCCACGCCUCCUUGUUCUUCCCCGUCAGCCGGUCCACCAGCCCGUGCAGCAGCAUCUCUCCUCUCCUCUGCUCUCUGGUUCUGCAGCGGAGGCAGGGCAGAGCAGAGCACGAGGAACACAACCGGUGGGUGCCUGUCCCCUUGCUGAUGCACUUGGCACAAGGAGGGCAGUGGUGGUGGUAGGGUGGCCUAGAUGCAGGGCCGCUGCGGCGGGAUUUAUAGGGCGCCUCGCCGAUACUACCAAUUUACCGCGGCCACCAACCCAGCCGCAGCGAUGUCAGAGAUGGAGAGAGAUCGCCGGAGGGAGGGCGAGGUGGUGCCUUCCGGUGCACUUUAUUAUAGUAGCGGUAACAAUUUUGUUUACUGCCUACUACAGUAUUACUACUGGUAUUUCUCGACGAGAUCCCGCCGGUUAUCUUUUAAAAAAUGCAUUUUUUUCUCUCUCUCUGCAGCGCGGCGCUGAGCAUGAGGCGGCACGGAGGAGGAGCCCAGCUGGCCUGCCCUGCCUGGCUGCCAAAAACGCCAUGGACUGGACUGGGCGACUGGCUGCCAAAAAACAGGACGCCAUUGAAAAGAGAAAGGUGGAGGUCGUCGCCCUCCCUGUCCACACCAGGCUUUCCUUUUUUCCGGACCGAUUAUGCAAUAUGUCUGAUUAUUAACGAGACAUAUUGCUCUUCAUGCGGGAUACACGCUGCGCGGUGUUUCGGGUCUGUCGACUCUUGUGCAUACGUGGCCAAACAAACGUGUCUGGCACGGCCCAUCGAGGCACGUUUAGUAAUCGGGCCGUACCGUGUUAGUCCGUCGGCUGCGCCUUCAAGCAUGCCUGAGGCACAUUUAGUAAUUGGGUCGUGGGCUGCGCCUCUAGGCCCACGCACGGCCCGCUUAUUAAACGGGUCGGUCACUUGGUCUGAUUAGCACGCUCGGCUGUAUAAUUUUAGCCUUAUGAGCUUAUUUUUAGGUCUAUUGGAUCAUAUAUUAUGUAUAUAUGUAUAUUAAAAAUAUGUAAAAAAAUAAACGGAUUGUGUCGUGUCGGCCCGCGUGCCCAGGCACGGCCUGAGGCGUGCCUCGUGCCUGACACGGCCCGUUUAAAUCGUAUCGUGCCUUGCCCAUGACGGGCCAUGUCGCCAGGAUCGCGGGCCGGUCUGUUUAGCCCGGCCCGUUUGACCAGGUAUGCUCUUGUGUGCUCGCCACGGUUCGCAAACCCGCGCGGACGCAAUACCGGUCGGCCGUUCAUGUGUGAGCCUUUCAUAUUUGAUUUUCUAGAUCAAUACAAAGCAUACAAAACAGAAAACCUACAUACUACUACGUAUUAUCCUGGCUUUCGUUGUUGAAAAUGUAAACGACGUCGAUGCUUGGCGUGUGGGAGGGCUCCGGCUCCUCAUCCUCCUUCUCAAGCUCAUUCUGGUCCGCAAGCAUAUGCGCCUCCGUCGCGCCCUGCGCCGCCUCCAUCUCCUAUCAUCGCUGAUGACUCGCCUUCGCAUUCGACUCCAAACGAGUGAAGUUAAGGUGGCAUGUUGCUCAGUGCAUGGGUCCGCGACACUAGUGUCCCUCUCGUCUCCCUCUGGUUCGGUCUCCUCCUCCUCCUUCUCAAGCUCCGGCUCCUUCCCCUCGUCCUCCUCAAGCUCCUGCUCCUCCUCCACCUCUUCCUCAAGCUCUAACUCCUCCUCCUCCUCCUCCUCUUCCUCAAGCUUUGACUCCCCCUCCUCAAGCUCCGAUUCCUCCUCCUCCUCUAGAUCCACUACAUCGAGAGGUAGCCCUGCGGUGAUCCGGGCUUCGCAUCUUGCCCGGACCUGCAGCCGACGCUCCGACGUUAGAAAGUGGCGGUGGCAGGGGGUGCAUGACAUUGCCGAAGAGCAUGGGAGAGGAGGCGGAUGGGCUCGGGUGGCCACGUAGAGAGGAAGGAGGUGGAUGUGCUACGGUUGAAAAACGCCGACCAUCUUAAAUAGCUGAAUUUUGCCUCGGGCGGCAAACCGAAGCGUCGUCACGCGAUGUUCACACCGCUGUGACACGCGAGGCAUCCGUGGGACAACCGAAUUUCCAUACGAGCCCGCGUGGGACACCAUCGUCAGGCCGACAUAGCGAACGUGCAUGGACACAUCUCGACGCCUCUAUAUUUAUCCCAUAUUUAAGCUGGAUAUAAAGAAUGUCAGUUAGCUCGGCUGUUUGAGGCGUCCCGCUGGGUCAAAAUUUCGUGAGGGGCGAGUGACCAAGCAACCCGCCGUGACAUUUAAAACGAAUAUGACUGGUCCGGUUGUAAAUGCUCUAAGAGCAAGUACAAUAAGGUACAGUUAGCAGGCUGUAAGGAUUAAAAUACUAUAUUUUUGUUAAGUUGGAUGAGAGAGAAGGGAAGCGGACUUUUCGUGAAGAGUCAGCUCUAGCACGUACUCCUAGAUGCUUUGUGAGAAUGAAAGGUGGACCAUAUAUAAUAAAAGUAGUAUUUUUUUAACUAAUUAUUGUACAAGCUAGCUAUAAAGUGGGCUAUAAGAUGGCUUAUAACCAACAACAGUUGGCUAUACUAUUAACCAUGCUCUAAUCAAAAUUUGCUACUGCUACAAAUUCGGCAAACAUUACUUGCUGGGUUUUAUGGUGAUGUUUGUAUGAAGCAUUGCCCAUAAUUUGGCACGCGUUGUUGAUCCAUACACGGAGCUGCUUCCGGUGAUGAACAGGACACGCAAAUUGGUGUGUGUGGAAACCAGGAUCGACACGAUGGUAGUAGUGUUCAACAUGAUACCUGUAUCAAUUAAAGUUUCAUGGCGUAGAAACUUGGUAAAGGACAGGUCGUCGCUCAGAGAUGAGAAGUAAUAGUACAGCAUAGCUUUGCUUGCCGUUCAUCUGGCCAGCGCCGUAUUAAUUGGGUUGGGCGUGGCUAGAACGAUUAAUUGGACGGUGGCCCGAGUUAAGAAGCUGCACGUAUGGGCUAAGCUACGUUUAUUUUUUAUCUUGUUAGGGUAUCUCUCAUAUGUAAAUUUGCUUCGGCGUCCGUCCGUGGACAGGAGGCCAGCUCGCGGAUAUACUCCCUCCGUUUCUAAAUAUAAGUCUUUUAAUAAAUUCUCUAUAGAGAUUACAUACGAAUGUAUAUGGACAUACUAUAGAAUAUAGAUUCAUUUAUUUUGCUUCGUAUAUAGACCUUUCGUGAAAUCUCUAAAAAGACUUAUAAAAAUGAAGAGAGUGGUUAUGAAAACCGGUCAACCAACACUCCAUGCAUAUAUGUCAACCAGUGUUUGAACUAAACAAACGGUAUUUAUGCAAAUACGACAGAAUCCAUUCAAGUUCGGUCAUAAUUACGUAAAAACUAAAAAACUAAACAAAGAACUAAACCCUAUAACAAACGACCCCCUCUAUGCGUGGCCGUCCAGCCCCUCCCGCACCAUCGUCGGCGUCCCUCCAGCGGUAGAAUGACGUCGGAGGGCCGUGACAGCCUUGUCAGACGGCUGCCAGCUGCUCGCGGAGGAGCCACUCCGCGUCCUGCUACGGUGUACAUGGCCGCCGCAGCCACUGUCGAUGUAGUCUUCGAAGCCUUAGUGGCGGCCUUGUCGUGGCCGGCUUUAUGGAUCGCAAUUAUAACACUAAGGAAAAAUAUUGUGCUUUUUGUUAAUGAAAAUCAGCUUAAUCAAAAACAAAAAGGAAAAAUGAAGCCACGAAAUGAAGCAUUUGAAGAAAAAAGUGAAACAAAGUGAUAAGUGGGUUCCACCAAAUUUCAAACAUGCUACCUAUGAAACGUUCGUCAAAUCCAAAUAGCAGCGCAUCAUCGAGUACGGCCUUUUGUCUCCCGAGCUCCGUGAAAGCCGGAUUUUUAAAAAAAAUCGAAAUUCAAUUUUUUUGGUUUCAAAAAAUUAUGAAAAAAAUAUGCGUGUAUGUAAUGAUGUAAUAUACACGUGUGUAAAAAUUCAUGAUAAAAUACAUUGAAUUGCGAUCUAUAUAAAAAAGACAAAUUUAAAAGGACGGUUUUUUUUAUCUUGUUAGGGUAUCUCUCAUCUGUAAAUUUGUUUCCGUGUCCGUCCGUGGACAGUAAACCAGCUCGCGGAUAUAAUUGCAAAAACCGGUCAAUCAACAUUACAUGCAUAUAUUUCAAUCAUUGUUUAAACUAAACAGACGAAAUUAAUGCAAACACGACGAAAUCCAUUCAAGUUCGGUCAUAAUUACGUAAAAACUAAAAAACUAUACAAAGAACUAAACCCUAUAACGGACAACUCCCCUCUACGCGUGGCCGCCCAGCCCCUGCCGCACCACCGGUCGUCCCUCGAGCAGCAGAACAACGUCGGACGGCUGUGACAUCCUUGUCUGAUGGCUGCGAGCUGCUCGCGAAGGUGCCACUCUACCUCCUGCUGCGGUGCACAGGGCCGCCGCAGCCACUACCGAUUUAGUCUUCGAAGCCUUAGUGGCGGCCUUGUCGCGGCCGGCUUUAUGUUUCACUCGCUAAGUGACCACUCAUCGUCGAUCUUGUUGAGCUUGUUGUAAAGGCGACCGCGGCGCCCGUCGGGUGUCUCCGUGGUAGUGAAGGAGUGCUUGAGGGCCAACAUGGCGGCCACGUCGAGAUCGUUGAGGGCCAAUUCGAUGCUACAUCAUUUUUGGCGAUCGUACCGCGCCUGCGGCCUCGUCUCGCGCUCCUCAUCGGACACAACAACCUUGGAGCCCGAGUGGCCACCGCCACCGCCACCUUUGUGAUCGCGGGCGGAAACUCCUCCUUGACCGCACGGUCAAAGUUGUUGAUUUGUUUGAAAAUCAUUUGUCCCAGUCAAAGUUGUAAACCAAAUCCAAAAUCAAAUAUCUCAACUAAAUGAAAGAGAUUCAAAAUUAAAGAAGAUACAUAAUUAAAACAGUUGAAUGAAUAAACUCGUUGAGAAAUUAUUAGCCCAGUUAAACUUGGGUGACACAAAUCUAAAUUAAAGACCUCAACUAAUUGUGAGGUUUUAAAAAUUAGAAAGCAUAGUAUAGUAUAAAAGAAUUGAAUGAGAGAGUUUUAACAAAUUAUUGACCCGAUCAAAAUCGAAUGACACAAUUUCAAUUGAAGACCUCAAUUAAACGUGAGUUCUUUAAAUCUAGAAAGCUUAGUGUUAUAUAAUGGAGUAGUUCAGCAGAAAAAAUAUUGUGCUUUCGGUUAAUGAAAAUCAGCUUAAUCAAAAAGAAAAAGGAAAAAUGAAGCCACGAAAUGAAGCAUUUUAAGAAGAAAAAAAGUGAAACAAAGCGACAAGUGGGUUCCAUCUAAUUUCAAACAUGCUAUCCGUGAAAUGUCCGUCAAAUCCAAAUAGGAGUGCAUCAUGGAGUAGGGCCUUUUGGCUCCCGAGCUCCAUGAAAGCCGGAUUUUGAAAAAAAAAAUGUGUGUAUGUAAGGAUGUAAUGUACACGUGUGUAAAAAUUCAAGAUGAAAUACAUUGAAUUGCGAUCUGUACAAAUACGACAAAUUUAAGGUCUGAAAUGAUGAAUUGUAUCAUAUGUUAAAAACCUCAGAUUUGUUUUUUUUUCAUAACCCUCAUUUCAACAUAUUUUGAUCUGUAAAUUUACACACUUGCGUUAUACCUUGAUAUAUAUCUGUAAUAUUUUUCAAAAAAAUAAACUGAAAAAAUAUAAAUUUUAGAUUUCAAAUUUAGAGGGAAAAGCCCCGCGCAUCAUCGGCUUUUUAUCACGCGGAGAGGAGAAAGCGGUACGUGGUGGUUUUAAUUGGAAAUAUUGAUGUCCGGCUCUUGCAAACCUUUCUUAAGUUUGUUUCCAGGUUAUAGGAAUUCGAACAUACGGAGUGUCCGUGGACAAAUACGGGGCCUAGUUAGAUGACAUACUGUAUGCGUAUGUACGCCUUAUAUUUCUUGAAAAAGAACAAGUUAAUCGCACUAGAAUCACCUCAAAUUCCGUUCCAACGAUCGACACAACCGAUGAGCGGAACGGUAUUCAAUCGAACAUGGAGUGCCACCGCAAGGCACUGAGCAGAAAAUGACGAGCAUACUGUACUAGAUAAAGAAGUUAAGCACGGCUUUUCUGCUCAAACGGAUGGAUAAGUUGUUUGGUACGCGUAAACUUAUUAACUUAACUUUUAGGGCAUCUUCAAUGACAAUACGUAUAUUUUGUUUCGUACCUGUCUCUAUAGAAGGAUCAGUCCAUGGACAUAGAUAUAAAAGGUCGAUAUUCAACGUUGUCUACAUAUAUUUGGCCAACAAUUCAAAUUAAUCAAACGAAAUUUGUUCAAAUCUAGCGGAUUACAUAAUUUACAUAAACAUUCGGUAUUUUGACCGUUUUUAUUAAAAACUAUUAAGAACAGCAAAAACCUAUAUAGGACGACCACCUCGUAAGCGUGGCCUCUUUGUCGUGUCGCAUCGCCGUCGGCGUUCGUGUCGCUGUCGUCAUCAUCGUCCCUCCAGCGGCUCAAUGAUGUUGGAGGGUCGCGGCAGCCUUGUCCGACAGCUACAUGACACUCGAGGAGGAGCCGCUCCGCCUCCGGUUGCGUCGUGCGAAGGGCCGCCUUGUCCACUAUCAAAGGCGCCUUCGGCGGCCUUUCCCUUGUCAACGUUAGCGGAGCAGUCGCUAAGAGACCACUCAUCGCCGGCAUUGGUCAUCUCGUCGUCAAAGCGGAGGCGGCGAGGUCCGGGUCGUGGCGGACCCAUUCUGGUGCCACGUCCGUCUUCGCGAACAUGAAGCGGUGACCGGCAUCACGUUGGUCCUAUACCUCACCUGCUGUCGUGUCAUGGGCUCGCUCUCGGAUACCACAGCGUGAGAACUGGAGGCACCGUCAAAAUCACCGCCUUCGAGUGUGGCCUCACGCGUUGGGGGUGCCGGGUGACACCUCCUCCUUUACCGAGAGGCGGUGUCGUCGUGGUGGAAAUGACGGGUCGUCGAUUCACGUGUAUCGGUUGUGUGACGGGGGUGACGUCGGUUCGUCCUUCAUGCGGUAAAGGCGUCGGGGGGACGUCGACUCGUGCUUCACGCGGAUGCCGAUGAGGACGUCGCGAUUACACGGUUAGGACGGUGGCUCGUCCUUCGCCUAUCGAAGAUGUUGGGCCCGUGGUGGGAAUGGUGGCUCUUCAUGCACGCGCGCCGACGAUGAUGGUGUCAGUCCUAUCAGACGUAGCGAACACUCCCAUUAUCUCCAUCCGACGGACGAAUUCUUCGUUCGUCUGAGCCACCUCCGAGAGGAGAUGGGGCCAAUGUUGGUUCUCCUCGUUGUCGGAGAGCUUGCCGUUGUGGAUGCAGAUGGAUCCGAUGAGCAAGGGCGGCGAUGCCGCGAUCCACGUGACAAGGAACUUCCAUCGGCGCCGCCUGUUGGUGUGAAGAACUAGGACUUGACAUCGCCGCUAGGAUUGGAGAGGAGGAAGGUCUCAAUAAGGGGGAGUGCGGAUCCGUUCGUUGUCGGCGCAGGGCUUAAAUAGCUGCGCCCAAGCCAGGAGAAGGUGUGGUUAGCCUGCUUCAAUGCGGCGCAACGGCAUAAGUUGGCUCCUCGAGAUGUGGGCCCGCAUUGAAAUGACGACGCCUGGGAGGUCGUGUUCGUUUGUACCGUCUUUCUAUACGGUUAAGUUGUGGGCAUCAAUGCGGACUGCCGCAUGCUUUGGGCCGACAUAAAUGCGGCACGAAAAGUGGUGCGACGCAUGGGAUAGAAAACAUGGAAGGGCGUAUGACGGGUUUUGGUGGAGCAGUGAGACGCAAAUUUGGAAGCGAUCUGGACGUCCGUAAAUCCACCUCGCGUUUGUCUUUGAUUUAUGAAAAGAAAAUAUGUCGGUACCGUCGUUCAAACCGAUACAUGUCCGCGUUAAAGGACUAUUGUAAUCAAGGUAUACAUAUAGCGACGGCGGUUUGUGAGUCGGCCUUGAAGAUGGCCUUAACCUAUCAUCACCGUAGGCUGGAGAUGCGUUCAUGGUAGUCUCGUAGAUGGAAGUUCCAUUGUGGAUUAUUUGAAGCCGCAACGGUUCGGGGCGAGGGGUUCCCGAGUCAUUUUCCCGUUUCUUCUAGUAGUAAUCAUCACGAACAGAACAGCAUGAUUAUCAAGUUGUAUUAUUCAUGUCCCUGACAAAGCAAAGCAGCCAUCUCAUAAACUAAUGGAUCGCGUGUUUGGCGACGGAGGAGUUUAAUCAUCGGCUCGGGCCUACGUAGCAGCCGUGACCGUAGGUGUACCGCAUGCGAUCCUUGCUGCUCGGAAAUAUCCAAAUUAAAAAGAGCAUGCAAUCCAUGGCCGCAUUGACCCGCGAUGCAGGGUCGUACUACAAAGAAUGCAAAAGAAAAUGGGGGGCCGAUGGAGAAUCUAAUUUGCACGCUUCUUGCCAGCGGCGCCACCAUGGAUGUGGAUGGAUUACGAUCGUCAUCUGCGACGAAGACCAAGAUCGCGAUUCGAUGCCACGAGGCCGCGUGCUAAUCGUGGCCGCCUAUUAUAUGCGUGGUUCACGGGCAGAUGGCCGCGAUACGAGUGAGCGGAGGGUACGAAGCUGCUUCCUCACUUGGAAAUCUCCUCGGAUCCUCGCUGCUCUCGUCGUAAGAUCAUACAAUGGUUGGACCGUCUCCAUCUCGGCGAUCUGAUCAUGUCGCCUCUGCCCCCAAACUGUGGGCGGGCAGUACAGUAUUAUCACAGGAGUAGCAUAUACACAACGAGCCAAUAAUGCACUGUAUUAUCACAGUUGUAAUUUAAGGCCUUUCCGAGUUUCCAGUGGAGCACAUGGACACCUGAUUGUUGGGUAGCGCGCCUGGACUUUGGAGCAACACAAGUUAGCCAGCUGACCCGAGGUUUGCAAGCGAACCCAUGCAUGCUACCGACUUUGGAUCCACAUGCGAACCCAUGCAUGCUACCGUAGCCAAGUUCACGUGGGAGUUGGGUAAGCAAGUCCAUGCAGCAGCUGCAGGUUAAAACUGCACGCUAAGUACGUACUACUACGACUAUGUUUACAACUUGUGCUCUGCAUAGAAAUAAAUACUUGGUUUGCAAGCGCACACGAUGGACCGUGUUUGCUGAUCAGCGCCGCACGUGUUACCAUGUGAAACGCUCGCAGAUCCCCACUACUAUUAAAUAAGAGCAUCCGUAACUUCCAAAUUAAAUUCGGCCACACAAAUCUUCAGGGAUGCGUUCGGACACGUCGAGGGUACUGAUCGGUCACGUCUUUAAUCUACUUGUCCAUGUCCAUCUCUUUCAUAUUUCAUUCAUUAGAUUCAUAUAAAAUCAUUAAAAAAUGAAUAAUCUACAUACUACGUACUAUACUACUCUUCGUCAUCGUCGAAGAUGGCCCGAGCCGUCAGCGCCGCCUCCAUCUGCUGCCGACCAAGACUAGUGGCCUCCACGGCCGACUUCAAACGGAUGGAGUUUAGGAUGGCCUGCUACUCCGGCCAUAGAUCCACAUCCUCCUUUCCCACAUCCAGCGGCGACGCCUUCUCCGUCGGCUCCUGCUGGUCCUCCCCACACCUAGUGACGGUGCCUCCUCCAUUGGCUCCUGCUCCUCCUCCUCUUCCACCCCAGCUCCUGUUGGGAACGUAGUAAUUUUUUUUUAAAAAUCUACGCCAUGCAAGGAUCUAUCUAUGAAGAAACCAGCAACGAGCAAAGGGGUAGAGCAUCUUCAUACCUUUAAAGAUCGCUAAACGGAAGCGUUACAAUGAACGCGGUGGAUUUCAUCUAUGUGCCGAACCACGGCACCUCCGUGUUCAACACACGUUUAGUCCGGUGAUGUCUCCCACGCCUUGAUCCAUCAAGGAGGAGGGAGAGGUUGAGGGAGAGCUCCGCAGCACGACGGCGUGGUGGCGAUGGAGUUACGUGGCACUCCGGCAGGGCUUCGUCAAGCUACGCGGAGGACGAGGACGAGGAGGAGUAGGGCUGCGUCGAGAGAGAGAGAAUUCUCGUUCCAAAUCUGUCCAAAACCAUCACUAUAUAUAGAAGGAGAGGGAGGAGGGUGCGACAACUCUAGAUGGCCCUUAGGCGGCGGGCAAGGUGGUGGAGGCGCCCUAGGGUUGGGCUUUGAGGCCCAAAGUGGCCUCCAACGCCUAGGGUUUGCCCCCCUCCACCCCUUGUUGCGCCUUGGGCUGCUUGUGGUAGCGCACCAGCCCACAUAUGGACAUGUUCCAUGCUACGAUAGCUAACUAGAGGGUGUCGGUCAGCUGAGCAAGAUCACACAGUCCAUGCUACGAUAGCUAACUAGAGUUUAUGAAGGAUUUUCUGUUCUUUCUUUCUGUGAUAGAUGGACCCCCAUGACAUCAACAUUGACCAUUAGUUAAAGAGUUUCUUACGUCCAACGGUGGAGGAUCUUUUAGGCAGGCGUAGACAAAGAGGCGUAGAAAAAGAACGUAACCCAUGCAAACCAAGUACUAGUGGAGUAUCUUUUAGGCAGGCGUAGACAAAGUAGGAUUUUUUUUCUGUUCUUUCUUCCUGUGAUAGAUGGACCCCCAUAACAGCAACAUUGACCAUUUCACUUAAACGUUAUCCCAUUCCACGUGGCUCUGACUAAUGGGUUCUGCUGUCAGUUUUUUUGUGUCAAAACAUGGUCAAACGUCGUUUUUAGUGCUUUCUGCAAACAAUUAUUCAGAAUCGGUGUUUUUAGCAAACCUUUUAUAAAAAAAUGUAUUUUUCAGCACUGAGCGACGUAAUUAUGCUAGUUUUUGACAAUUUACCCAGUACUAUUCCUACUUUAUCUACGCCUGCCUAAAAGAUACUCCACUAGCACUUGUUUUGCAAGCGCACACGGCCAUGUUUGUUGAUUAGCACCGCACAGAAAACGCUCGCUGAUCCACACUACUAAACUAAAGUAGUAUGAAUGAUCUCAAAAAGACUAGCAGCCGAGCCUCAGGUGGAUGGGACAGAAAACACAAGCCGCACUACAAGAUGUUCAGAUUGCGACGCGCAUGGCUAAUUGUGUGUCCACUACUGUUAAUUCAAGCUCAGGCUGAGCAUCUACUAAAUCAACAGAGACAGCCGAUGAGAAGGAUAAUGGCCCUCUCUUUUUUAAAAAUGCCACUCUUCCCCUUUUGGGCGGGCCAUGGAGUUGGUUUCGUGCAAGCAGUGCCCGUCUUGACCUUGGUUAGAAGCCUCGAGCAAGUGUCAAGUCAUCACUCCUAUGUAAAACCCAUCUUUUUUGUACACGGCUUUGUCAAGAAAAACAAGAAUGAAAAACUCGCCUACCUUUGCCCACCGGAAUUUGGGGGCUGGUGUUAAUUAAAGCUAAAAGGCUGGAUGGAGAUUGUUUCAGAGAACACGUGGGGACAUAAAAAUGACUGACAUAACACAACUAUUACAGUCCGUCCUUAAUCAUUGCGGUUCAUCUCCUAUCAGCCGUCAAGCCCAUCCAUCCUCUCCAAAAUGUGUCGGCAUUAUUAGCCAUCUCCUCACAUCGGCAUCGUUAUUGUCAUCGUUGUCAUCAUCAUCAUCGGCAUCGGCAUCCCGACGCAUUAUAAAUUGCAAUAAUUCAUUUUAGCAAACACUGAUUUGGUGAAUUAUUGAUCCCGCACUGUCAGCACAGGAUCCGUUGGGCUGCCAAGACGGAGAUAAUUAGGAGCACAAGGGACAAACACGACGCGCCUCCUUUUGUUAAUUAAAUUCAGCAUGGGCAUGUUGCUCGAUCGAGUGUUUGAGAUGCGGUGACCAACUACAGCUUCUUCACCUCUCGCACGUCCUUCUUGUUGCUGCUAAACAGUGUUGCCUCUCGCUGAACUGACUGGCCAACAACCCCUUUGUACCAUCCAGAUCCAGAUUCCUCUCACAAUACUCCUGCAAAAGUUACUCCAUGUUGUGCGUUUGAUUUGAUUUCCCCCUGACAAGUUGGCAUAUGUUCCCGGCUCGGUUUCCACAUGGCAAUGAAGUGUAUGUUACAGAUGUAGGACAUGCUCAGUCCCUUAGCUCAUGCAGCUUCUCCACUGAUCAGUGAACAUGGACACGCCAAUUGAUGCAUGUAACUAAAUCAUUAGGGGUUCAAAAAGUCUCGCUAUCACAAUGUGCAAUCAUAUUCACGUGACUCUGCAUGUCGUAUACGGUGAGGUGUUGGUUCGACGAUCGUCUGUGAUAGGGUCGGAGUCACUUGCUCCGGAUUCAAGAUGGCAACAGGAGAAGUGAUGCCGGCGCCCGGCGCCCGUGAGCUAUAUCGAUGGGGGUCUCCGUGAAGAGUGUUUCAUAUGUGCUGCUGCGAUUGUGGUAGUUUCUGUUAAUUAAGUGAGCAAUUCGUUCCGCUUAAAAACGGAUGGGGCAUUUCUUUUCAUCCAUUUCAAACAAUAGUAAAUGCCAUGACUGACACAAUUCCAGUGGAAGCAAAUCUGCUUUAUUUAUUCGGCUUAAAGAGCAACUGCUGACAUAGUACUGUCACAGACACACACUACACCAAUCUCUCGACAAGUUUCGUACGUGGCGAACGCCCUUUAUUCAUCCAUGGUUGCCGAUGGCUUAGAUUAGAUGGAGAUGCUGUUGGGGAUGCCCUUGGCGGUAAGCCCGGCAGCGGCGCCCUUGUGGUCGGAGGUGUUGGGGUAGAGCAGCAUGUAGGGAAACUUAGCCGGGCCGUUGCGGUUCUUGAGCUCCGGGUCAUGGUUCAUGCCCACCACCUUGCUCUCGAUCUCCACCAGCCGGUCGCUGAACCGCUUGAACACCUCCAGGGCCUUUGGGUCCGAGGUCCACUCCGGCGUGUCCCGCUGCCCGAGGUACAGCUCGUCGGAGGAGUGCUUCGACAGCACCUCCAGCAGCGACACGCCGAUGAUGGUCUGGAUCUGGCUCGUGAUGGUGUGGAUGAAGGCCCGCUCCGGGUCGCGCUCCAGCUCCGCGUACUCCUCCGUGCCGGGCUCCGGCAUGCGGCGCCGGCUCACCGUCGGCCGGUUCGGGAGGAACCCCGCGUAGGGGUACUGCCCGAAGUUGACUGCCGCAUGCAGCGCCGACCCGAUCCAGAUGAUGGUGGUGCACGCCUUGGCCAGCUCCGGCACACUUUGCAUCUUGGGCCACCAUGGGGCGUCCUUGAGGUCGCCGUGCCCGACCUCGCGCGUCUCCUUCCACCACGCCUGCACCUCCGUAUCGCCCUGCAGCACGCCGUCGUUCGGGUAGUAGAUGGCCAGGUACUCGCUCACGUACUGCUCAAUGGCGUGCCAGAUCGCCAGCCCGUCCGCCGCGUACGGGUAGUCCGACACCAGCAACCGCACCUUGUACGGGCUCGACGGGUCCUCCACCGCCAUGCCCC
Molecule: long non-coding RNA, 18099 nt
Filed under: Hordeum vulgare
Lineage: Eukaryota; Viridiplantae; Streptophyta; Magnoliopsida; Poales; Poaceae
Description: long non-coding RNA (HVUL_LNC008542)
Source: RNAcentral